This 375-nucleotide ribosomal RNA is filed under the name uncultured bacterium. RNAcentral describes it as "bacterial SSU rRNA". It matches the Rfam family "Bacterial small subunit ribosomal RNA", at positions 524 to 898 of the family's 1533-position model. The record is from RNAcentral.
UACGAAGGGGGCUAGCGUUGCUCGGAAUUACUGGGCGUAAAGGGCGCGUAGGCGGCUUUGUUAGUCAGGCGUGAAAUUCCUGGGCUCAACCUGGGGACUGCGCUUGAUACGGCAAGGCUAGAGUGUGGAAGAGGGUCGUGGAAUUCCCAGUGUAGAGGUGAAAUUCGUAGAUAUUGGGAAGAACACCGGUGGCGAAGGCGGCGACCUGGUCCAUUACUGACGCUGAGGCGCGACAGCGUGGGGAGCAAACAGGAUUAGAUACCCUGGUAGUCCACGCCGUAAACGAUGUGCGCUGGAUGUUGGAGUUCCUAGAACUUCAGUGUCGUAGCUAACGCGGUAAGCGCACCGCCUGGGGAGUACGGCCGCAAGGUUGAA